GAUGAAGAACGUAGCGAAAUGCGAUACGUAAUGUGAAUUGCAGAAUUCAGUGAAUCAUCGAAUCUUUGAACGCAUAUUGCGCUCUCUGGUAUUCCGGAGAGCAUGCUUGCUUGAGUAUCAGUAAACACCUCAACUUCCAUAUCUUUUUUUGAAAUGGGAGUUGGACUUGAGUGAUCCCAACGCUUUUCCUCACCGAAAAGUGGCGGGUUACUUGAAAUGCAGGUGCAGCUGGACUUUUCUCUGAGCUAUAAGCAUAUCUAUUUAGUCUGCCUAAAAAACAGAUUAUUACCUUUGCUGCAGCUAACAUAAAGGAGAUUAGUUCUUGUGCUGACUGAUGCAGGAUUCACAAAGACAGCUUCGGCCGACUUUGUAAACUCGAUCUCAAAUCAAGUAAGACUACCCGCUGAACUUAAGCAUAUCAAUAAGCGGAGGA
RNAcentral lists this unclassified non-coding RNA (433 nucleotides) under soil metagenome. Its description in RNAcentral is "partial contains 5.8S ribosomal RNA, internal transcribed spacer 2, and large subunit ribosomal RNA". The stretch from base 1 to 120 matches the Rfam family "5.8S ribosomal RNA", at positions 35 to 154 of the family's 154-position model. The record is from RNAcentral.